GACACAGCCAUCAGCAUUCCUGAGCCCUGCCAGCCUGCACUGCUGACUCACAAGGCAGCCUUGAGUGAGUCACUCAUUGCCAGAUGCUUCCACCUGACCUUGUCAAAGUGCUGCAAACAAGGAAGCAAAACAGACUCACCUUUGGCAACUCUGGCAAACAAGUUUUAUCAUGUCGUAUUCGAGCUUCCCCCACACCACCAGAGACAACAACAAUGAAACAUACAAACGAAAGAAAA
Molecule: long non-coding RNA, 236 nt
Organism: Corvus hawaiiensis (hawaiian crow)
Lineage: Eukaryota; Metazoa; Chordata; Aves; Passeriformes; Corvidae
Exons: 2
Source: RefSeq, a predicted model, not a curated record